Molecule: unclassified non-coding RNA, 278 nt
Filed under: uncultured fungus
Lineage: Eukaryota; Fungi
Description: partial contains small subunit ribosomal RNA, internal transcribed spacer 1, and 5.8S ribosomal RNA
Rfam family: Eukaryotic small subunit ribosomal RNA (bases 1-73)
Source: RNAcentral
UCAAACUUGGUCAUUUAGAGGAAGUAAAAGUCGUAACAAGGUUUCCGUAGGUGAACCUGCGGAAGGAUCAUUAAAGAUUCGGGUUUCGGCCCUCCUCAUCAGCUGUGCGCUCCGGCUGCACGCUGUUGAAACAAACACACCUGUGAACCUCUUCGGUUGCGGCGCUCCGCGUCGCUUCCGCUUUACAUACAACUACUUGAAGUUCAGAAUGUUUAAACUAUAAAAUAACAACUUUCAACAAUGGAUCUCUUGGCUCUCGCAUCGAUGAAGAACGCAGC